AUUGGGCCCGACGUCGCAUGCUCCCGGCCGCCAUGGCGGCCGCGGGAAUUCGAUUAGAGUUUGAUCAUGGCUCAGAUUGAACGCUGGCGGCAGGCCUAACACAUGCAAGUCGAGCGGUAGAGAGGUGCUUGCACCUCUUGAGAGCGGCGGACGGGUGAGUAAUGCCUAGGAAUCUGCCUGGUAGUGGGGGAUAACGCUCGGAAACGGACGCUAAUACCGCAUACGUCCUACGGGAGAAAGCAGGGGACCUUCGGGCCUUGCGCUAUCAGAUGAGCCUAGGUCGGAUUAGCUAGUUGGUGGGGUAAUGGCUCACCAAGGCGACGAUCCGUAACUGGUCUGAGAGGAUGAUCAGUCACACUGGAACUGAGACACGGUCCAGACUCCUACGGGAGGCAGCAGUGGGGAAUAUUGGACAAUGGGCGAAAGCCUGAUCCAGCCAUGCCGCGUGUGUGAAGAAGGUCUUCGGAUUGUAAAGCACUUUAAGUUGGGAGGAAGGGCAUUAACCUAAUACGUUAGUGUUUUGACGUUACCGACAGAAUAAGCACCGGCUAACUCUGUGCCAGCAGCCGCGGUAAUACGAAUCACUAGUGAAUUCGCGGCCGCCUGCAGGUCGACCAUAUGGGAGAGCUCCCAACGCGU
RNAcentral lists this ribosomal RNA (639 nucleotides) under uncultured Gammaproteobacteria bacterium. RNAcentral describes it as "bacterial SSU rRNA". It matches the Rfam family "Bacterial small subunit ribosomal RNA", at positions 1 to 604 of the family's 1533-position model. Lineage: Bacteria; Pseudomonadati; Pseudomonadota; Gammaproteobacteria. The record is from RNAcentral.